This 497-nucleotide ribosomal RNA is filed under the name uncultured bacterium. RNAcentral's name for it is "partial 16S ribosomal RNA". It matches the Rfam family "Bacterial small subunit ribosomal RNA", at positions 28 to 507 of the family's 1533-position model. The record is from RNAcentral.
GAUGAACGCUGGCGGCGUGCCUAAUACAUGCAAGUCGAGCGAACAGACGAGGAGCUUGCUCCUCUGACGUUAGCGGCGGACGGGUGAGUAACACGUGGAUAACCUACCUAUAAGACUGGGAUAACUUCGGGAAACCGGAGCUAAUACCGGAUAAUAUAUUGAACCGCAUGGUUCAAUAGUGAAAGACGGUUUUGCUUUAACUUAUAAAUGUAUCCGCGCCGCAUUAGUAAUUUGGUAAGUUAAAGGCUUACCAAGGCAACAACGCGUAGCAGACCUGAGAGGGGGAUCGGCAAAAUGGGAACUGAGACCCGGUCCAGACUCCUACGGGAGGAAGCGGUAGGGAACCUUGCGAAAUGGGGGAAAGCCGAACGGAGCAACGCCGCGGGAGGGAUGAAGGUUUUCGAAUCGUAAAACUCUGUUAUAAGGGAAGAACAAAUGUGUAAGUAACUAUGCACGUAUUGACGGUACCUACUCAGAAAGCCACGGCUAACUACGUG